This is a long non-coding RNA of Lynx canadensis (Canada lynx), 386 nucleotides long. RefSeq lists it as uncharacterized. The transcript is spliced from 3 exons. NCBI's taxonomy places the organism in Eukaryota, Metazoa, Chordata, Mammalia, Carnivora, Felidae. The record is from RefSeq and is a predicted model, not a curated record.
GCUUCCUGUUGGCUCCUCCCUUUCCCUGCCCAGCCUCUCUGUGGGGACUGGUGGCCUCCCGUCCCCUCCCGUCCCCUCCCGUCCCCUCCCGGGGACGAUGGGUGGGGUCCCCGAGUCCCCCUGGCCCAUGGGUUCUGAGGAGUGGCUUUGGAGCUGUGGGGGUCAUGGGGCUAAGCCGCGGGCGGGUGGGUGUGCAGGUCACUCUGGAGGGCAGGGUGCCCUCACGUCACGUCCUUCAGGCGCUGCCUCCCCUAGGUCUGCGUGUCAGUGAUGGCGCCGCACCAGAUGUUCAUUUAAACAUUGACGCUCCCGCUGGCCCUGCUCUGUCUCCUCCCAGCUGACCGUAGGAGCAGAGAGAGACAGAGAGAGCGUGAGCAGGGGAGGGG